RNAcentral lists this ribosomal RNA (422 nucleotides) under uncultured bacterium. Its description in RNAcentral is "partial 16S ribosomal RNA". It matches the Rfam family "Bacterial small subunit ribosomal RNA", at positions 360 to 774 of the family's 1533-position model. The record is from RNAcentral.
AAUAUUCGACAUUGGGGGCAACCCUGAUCCAGCCAUCCCGCGUGUGUGAAGCACGUCUUCGGAUUGUAAAGCACUUCAAGUUGGGAGGAAGGGCUUUAGGUUAAUACCCUGAAGUUUUGACGUUACCAACAGAAUAAGCACCGGCUAACUCUGUGCCAGCAGCCGCGGUAAUACAGAGGGUGCAAGCGUUAAUCGGAAUUACUGGGCGUAAAGCGCGUGUAGGUGGUUCAGUAAGAUGGAUGUGAAAUCCCCGGGCGUAACCUGGGAACUGCUUUCAUAACUGCUGAGCUAGAGUACGGUAGAGGGUAGUGGAAUUUCCUGUGUAGCGGUGAAAUGCGUAGAUAUAGGAAGGAACACCAGUGGCGAAGGCGACUACCUGGACUGAUACUGACACUGAGGUGCGAAAGCGUGGGGAGCAAACA